Molecule: ribosomal RNA, 400 nt
Filed under: uncultured bacterium
Lineage: Bacteria
Description: bacterial SSU rRNA
Rfam family: Bacterial small subunit ribosomal RNA
Source: RNAcentral
UCAAGAAUAUUCCUCAAUGGCCGAAAGGCUGAAGGAGCGACGCCGCGUGUAUGAUGAAGCCCUUCGGGGUGUAAAAUACUUUUAACCGGGACGAAGUACUGACGGUACCGGUUGAAUAAGGGGCUGCUAACCUCGUGCCAGCAGCAGCGGUAAUACGAGGGCCCCGAGCGUUAUCCGGAUUUAUUGGGCGUAAAGGGUGUGUAGGCUGUUUAUACCAUCUCCUGUUAAAUCUUAAGGCUCAACCUUGAGGCUGCGGGAGAUAUGAAUAAACUAGAGUUCGGAAGAGGCAAGCGGAAUUGCUGGUGUAGGGGUUAAAUCCGUUAAUAUCAGCAAGAACACCGAAAGCGAAGGCAGCUUGCUAGGACGACACUGACGCUGAGACACGAAAGCGUGGGGAGCG